This 495-nucleotide ribosomal RNA is filed under the name uncultured Rhodococcus sp. RNAcentral describes it as "bacterial SSU rRNA". It matches the Rfam family "Bacterial small subunit ribosomal RNA", at positions 891 to 1382 of the family's 1533-position model. Lineage: Bacteria; Bacillati; Actinomycetota; Actinomycetes; Mycobacteriales; Nocardiaceae. The record is from RNAcentral.
GCUCAGAAACUUAAAGGAAUGACGGGGCCGCACAGCGGUGGAGUAUGUGGUUUAAUUCGAUGCAACGCGAAGAACCUUACCUGGUCUUGACAUCCCGGAGACCCUUAGGAAACUAGGGGGUGCUUCCAUCUGGAAGAAUCUGGAGACAGGUGCUGCAUGGCUGUCGUCAGCUCGUGUCGUGAGAUGUUGGGUUAAGUCCCGCAACGAGCGCAACCCUUGUCUUAUGUUGCCAGCACGUGAUGGUGGGGACUCGUAAGAGACUGCCGGGGUCAACUCGGAGGAAGGUGGGGACGACGUCAAGUCAUCAUGCCCCUUAUGUCCAGGGCUUCACACAUGCUACAAUGGCCAGUACAGAGGGCUGCGAGACCGUGAGGUGGAGCGAAUCCCUUAAAGCUGGUCUCAGUUCGGAUCGGGGUCUGCAACUCGACCCCGUGAAGUCGGAGUCGCUAGUAAUCGCAGAUCAGCAACGCUGCGGUGAAUACGUUCCCGGGCCUU